AGUGAACGCUGGCGGUAGGCCUAACACAUGCAAGUCGAACGGCAGCACAGUAAGAGCUUGCUCUUACGGGUGGCGAGUGGCGGACGGGUGAGGAAUACAUCGGAAUCUACUUUUUCGUGGGGGAUAACGUAGGGAAGCUUACGCUAAUACCGCAUACGACCUACGGGUGAAAGCAGGGGAUCUUCGGACCUUGCGCGAUUGAAUGAGCCGAUGUCGGAUUAGCUAGUUGGCGGGGUAAAGGCCCACCAAGGCGACGAUCCGUAGCUGGUCUGAGAGGAUGAUCAGCCACACUGGAACUGAGACACGGUCCAGACUCCUACGGGAGGCAGCAGUGGGGAAUAUUGGACAAUGGGCGCAAGCCUGAUCCAGCCAUACCGCGUGGGUGAAGAAGGCCUUCGGGUUGUAAAGCCCUUUUGUUGGGAAAGAAAAGCAGCAGGUUAAUACCCCGCUGUUCUGACGGUACCCAAAGAAUAAGCGCCGGCUAACUUCGCG
Molecule: ribosomal RNA, 492 nt
Filed under: uncultured bacterium
Lineage: Bacteria
Description: partial 16S ribosomal RNA
Rfam family: Bacterial small subunit ribosomal RNA
Source: RNAcentral